Long non-coding RNA from Arabidopsis thaliana (thale cress), 612 nucleotides. RefSeq annotates it as other RNA. The record is from RefSeq. The transcript has a single exon. NCBI's taxonomy places the organism in Eukaryota, Viridiplantae, Streptophyta, Magnoliopsida, Brassicales, Brassicaceae.
GGAUUCUCUUUGGCCCAGCUUUCUUUGGAUUCUUCUUUUAGAUUGGAGAGUUUGGUGUACCUAUAGCUUCUCUUGUCUUCUAUCCUUAUUUUAUGCUUUCUUCUCUGUUUCCUAUCAUUGAAAUCUAUAUUCUUAAUCCCGGUUUACAAAUCUACUUACUGUUGUUUUUUACCCUGUUGACCACUGCUAAUUAUUAUUAUACGCUGAAUCUUUCCCUACCAAAGAAAAUAAAUAUAUACGGUGAAUCUUACUUAAAAACGUAUAUAUAUAGUAGGAUUGUGAAAAGAAAAAGAAAAAAGCUUCAGUAUGAACAAAACUUGAACUCAAAGUGAAGACAACUUACUUAUUGCACCAGUACUUAAAAAAUGAUUUAUCCAGGCCUAUAUUUAUUAUCUCCUAACAGCCCAUCUCAGCCCACCAGGUUGACGGUAGGAUCAAUUGUUGUAUAAUGGAUUAGUGUUUUUUUUGUUUGUGUGUCAUUGUGUGCUGCUGUUUACUCACCAUCUAGACGUUACAAAUGUGUUGAUUUUGAUCAAAUAUCGAACUUCGCACUAAUAACCGAAUCUCUGUUAAAGUUUUCACGUUUUUUGGUGUCUCGGUUUUUCUAAUGUC